Molecule: ribosomal RNA, 369 nt
Filed under: uncultured fungus
Lineage: Eukaryota; Fungi
Description: eukaryotic LSU rRNA
Rfam family: 5.8S ribosomal RNA (bases 20-173)
Source: RNAcentral
GAACCUUUAAAUUUAAUACAACUUUCAGCAACGGAUCUCUUGGCUCUCGCAUCGAUGAAGAACGCAGCGAAAUGCGAUAAGUAAUGUGAAUUGCAGAAUUCAGUGAAUCAUCGAAUCUUUGAACGCACCUUGCGCUCCUUGGUAUUCCGAGGAGCAUGCCUGUUUGAGUGUCAUUAAAUUCUCAACCUCACCAGUUUUUACGAAUUGGCUGAUGGCUUGGAUGUGGGAGUUGCGGGCUUCUUUGAAGUCGGCUCUUCUUAAAUGCAUUAGUGGAGACUUGCAAUCGUCGCCUUGGUGUGAUAAUUAUCUGCGCCUUGGUGUAUGGUGGCUAAUUAAAUGUCUUUGCUUCUAACAGUCCAUUGACUUGGA